AUGAUAAAUAUUUUCAAAGGGUGGGACCCGAGACUCGAACCCGGGUCCUCCAGACUAGAAAGCCGAAGCGUUUCCACGCGGCCAAUCCGGCUGUUAGACGUUCGGUUAAAUGCCAUAAGGAUGCAAACAUGAAUGUUAACGUGCUACUUAGGAGGACCCGGGUUAACGUUCCAGAUCCGGCAUCUUCUGAAAAGUUUUUUGGGGUUCUGGAUUCUGCCCGGCGAUCCCCGUUCUUCACCAUACGGCCCCCCUCCACGGGUAUGGGUGCAGCUCGUGAUUGGAAUUGGCCCCGCCACUCCUUAAUCUCCGAUUUGAAAAGGGACAUAAUACUGUAAAAAAAAAUGUCGAAACAUAACCAUUAAGUUUAAUAAACUAUCUUACUCUAAAUUAGUCAUUCUAAAAUGCAAUAAAAGAUGCACACAAAAAACAAAGCUCCAAACAGGAUAAAUACUCGUACUUUAUUAAAAGAAACGUUUUCGACCUUAUCAUGUUUAUUAGUGCAAUUCAAUUUUAAGAUACAUUUUGAUUUUAGAGAUGACAAAAUGUGCAUCUUAGAAUUAGUAUAUUUCACAGUUCUAAGACAUAAGUUUAAU
RNAcentral lists this long non-coding RNA (593 nucleotides) under Androctonus crassicauda. Lineage: Eukaryota; Metazoa; Arthropoda; Arachnida; Scorpiones; Buthidae. The record is from RNAcentral.